UGGGGAAUUUUGGACAAUGGGGGCAACCCUGAUCCAGCCAUCCAGCGUGUGCGAUGAAGGCCUUCGGGUUGUAAAGCACUUUUGGCAGGGAAGAAACAGCCUGGGCUAAUAUCCCGGGCGACUGACGGUACCUGCAGAAUAAGCACCGGCUAACUACGUGCCAGCAGCCGCGGUAAUACGUAGGGUGCAAGCGUUAAUCGGAAUUACUGGGCGUAAAGCGUGCGCAGGCGGUUCGGAAAGAAAGGUGUGAAAUCCCAGGGCUUAACCUUGGAACUGCACUUUUAACUACCGGGCUAGAGUACGUCAGAGGGGGGUAGAAUUCCACGUGUAGCAGUGAAAUGCGUAGGGAUGUGGAGGAAUACCGAUGGCUAAGGCAGCCCCCUGGGAUGAUACUGACGCUCAUGCACGAAAGCGUGGGGAGCAAA
RNAcentral lists this ribosomal RNA (425 nucleotides) under uncultured bacterium. Its description in RNAcentral is "bacterial SSU rRNA". It matches the Rfam family "Bacterial small subunit ribosomal RNA", at positions 355 to 772 of the family's 1533-position model. The record is from RNAcentral.